Molecule: long non-coding RNA, 561 nt
Organism: Nelumbo nucifera (sacred lotus)
Lineage: Eukaryota; Viridiplantae; Streptophyta; Magnoliopsida; Proteales; Nelumbonaceae
Source: RefSeq, a predicted model, not a curated record
ACUAUUGCCUACUGUUGAAGAGUUUCUCCCUCAUGUUCACCGUUCUUUUGUCGCCGGCGAUGAUACUCUCACUUGUUGCCGCUGCUCCGCAAAGUGACCGUCAUUGUUAAUAUUUUUUUCAUCCAUUGAAACGAUAAGGAGUUACAGAGGAUUUAUGGGUCAGUGACCGUGAACAUCCUUUCUCUAGCAGUCUUUUUAGCGGUUGUUUACAUAAGGAGCUUAAUAUGUGACUUCUCUGUUUGUAAUUGAGCGGCCAUUGUUAAUUGGCAAGAGGAUGAGAUGAGAUGGGACGGGAUGAGAAGGGAAUUUUUUUUCUCAACCCUAUCACCUGUGUUUGGUUGCUGAGACCAAUUUGCUAAAGGAAGAAGAAAUGAAAGUUAUCGGUGGAGGAACGACGGUGGAAGAAAGACCAAUUUUUUCUCAACCCAGUACCUUGACAGUGCUCGUGGUGGUGGUGGUGGCGGUGGAAGAACGAUGACAAAUCUUGAAGAAGCAGCCGCCAGAAGCCGUUUAUGGACCUAAAAAACAAACUCUCUUUUAACAAAUAAGUUGGUUGUAGCG